UGGGGAAUUUUGGACAAUGGGCGCAAGCCUGAUCCAGCCAUGCCGCGUGUGUGAAGAAGGCCUUCGGGUUGUAAAGCACUUUCGGACGGAACGAAAUCGCGCGCGUUAAUAGCGCGCGUGGAUGACGGUACCGUAAGAAGAAGCACCGGCUAACUACGUGCCAGCAGCCGCGGUAAUACGUAGGGUGCGAGCGUUAAUCGGAAUUACUGGGCGUAAAGUGUGCGCAGGCGGCGUCGCAAGUCGAGUGUGAAAGCCCCGGGCUUAACCUGGGAAUUGCGCUCGAAACUACGAUGCUGGAGUGUGGCAGAGGAAGGUGGAAUUCCACGUGUAGCGGUGAAAUGCGUAGAGAUGUGGAGGAACACCGAUGGCGAAGGCAGCCUUCUGGGCCAACACUGACGCUCAUGCACGAAAGCGUGGGGAGCAAACAGG
This 429-nucleotide ribosomal RNA is filed under the name uncultured bacterium. RNAcentral's name for it is "bacterial SSU rRNA". It matches the Rfam family "Bacterial small subunit ribosomal RNA", at positions 355 to 776 of the family's 1533-position model. The record is from RNAcentral.